UUGUUUUUGGUUGGAUGUUUCCUUUAGCCAUUCUUGAGGCCUGAUUUAUUACGCAUGCUAUUUUUUGAGUGUAGGUAUCUUGUUCCUGCUGACUUAACUAUGGGGCAAUUUGUUUAGGUGAUUCGAAAGAGUAUGAAUCUGACCCAUGAGAAGGCCAUUUUCUUCUUUGUGAAGAAUAUUUUGCCACCCACUGCUUCGCCAUUUCUAUGAUGCGUGGUCAAAUUUAGCUAGUGCAUAUAUGAGGAAAGGAAGACUUAAUGAGGCAGCCCGGUGUUGUCACCAGGCUCUUGCAUUGAACCCUCGCUUGUUUGUCAGAAAAUGCAUAUGUUCUUGUGGUAGAGGUAUUGAAGAAAAUGCAUAUAUUCUGUAGGCAUUAAGCUCCCUUGUUGCUUCACUACUUGAGAAAGAAAAGGAUCUUCAACUUCUUUCUGACUGGUCCAAUUCCUCCUGCUUUGGUUAUUCUGCUUUUGAAGAAGUUCUCCCACAUGCUCCAACAUUGAUGACUGAUGUGUUUGGCAAUUAUGUUAUUUGAAAGUUUUUUUUAUCAUGGAAGCCCUGAGCAGAGAAAAGAACUAGCAAAUCAGCUUGCUGGCCACAUUCAACCUUGGAGCCUUCAGAUGUAUGGGUGCCGGGUAAUUCAAAAGGGCCCUACACAAUUCAAUUUGGCUAAUCCACGCUUACACAUGUUACCCUUUUUAAUGGAAGGUAUGUGCUUGAUUUUAUUUUUAUUAUUAUUAUAGUUGUUGUGGGAUGCAAAUAUGCUCUACUUGAAUUCAUGAUGGGAGCUGAUUACUUGGGUUUUACCAACCAAAGGGUAGGUGUUAAUGCAGAUGGACAACAUUCUUAUAAUCUCAGACUAGUUUGAGAUCUGUGACUAAGACUCACUAACACAACAUCGGCACCAUAUAUAGACCAAUGUUUCAAAAAUUGAACCAUAGGCCAACCCAUUUCAUAAGUAGGAAGAAAAUCAGGUGCAAUAGAAAUGCUUGUUUUAGUUGAUGGCAGGAAGAUGUGAACCUAAUGCUUGAGAAUUAGUUUGA
Magnolia sinica is the source of this 1040-nucleotide long non-coding RNA. RefSeq lists it as uncharacterized. Lineage: Eukaryota; Viridiplantae; Streptophyta; Magnoliopsida; Magnoliales; Magnoliaceae. The record is from RefSeq and is a predicted model, not a curated record. The transcript has 6 exons.